GAGUUUCCACAGCAGCACUACAAACUACUGUUACAACAGCAGAAUCCUCCACCACAGCUACAACAACAGCAGUGCCCUCAACAACCCUUACAACUGUUGCUGAAUCAUCCACCACUACUGCAGGAGUUACCAGAACAGCACAACAAUCUACAGUUACAACAGCAGAAUCCUCCACAACAGCAACAACAACAGCAGCAGUGCCCUCAACAACCACUACCACUACAACUUUUGCUGAAUCAUCCACUACUACCGCAGGAGUUACCACAACAGCACCACAAAUUACUGUUACAACAGCAGAAUCCUCCACAACAGCUAGAACAACAGCAGCAACAUCUGAAACACCAGCAACUUCAUCGCCAACAGGUUCAGCCACAGUCUUUACAUCUAUUAUUGGUACAUCCACCAGUGGUACAGCAAUAACCGCAAUAGUGACACAAUCUAAAGUUACUACAGAGUCUACAGCAUCUAACACUUCUACAGAACCUGCAGUGUCUACAGCUGCUAUAGCUUCUACUGUAUCUACAGCUUCAACAGCAUCUACAGCAUCAACAGCAUCUACAACCUCUACAGCAUCUACAGCCUCUACAACAUCUACAACCUCUACAGCAUCUACAACCUCUACAGCAUCUACAAUCUCUAAAGCAUCUACAACCUCUACAGCAUCUACAACCUCUACAGCAUCUACAACUUCCAAAGCAACUACUGCAAAAAUAAUACCUGAAGUGCUAACAGAUCUAGUGUUUAGCUCUUUUGAGACAUUUAUAGAUGCACUCAGUGAUGUCAACAGUGAGGAGUUUAAGAUUAGGUCUAAACUUGUCAAGGAUGAGCUUGAGCCUGUCUACAAAAUCAAGUAUUCUAACUUCCUCAGACUGAAUGUCCUAAGAUUCAGAUCAGGGUCAAUCAUCACAUCAACACAACUAGCUUUCAGCUUCAACCAAACUAUCCCAUCUGUUCAAGAGAUUUCAAACACCCUCUUGGAAGCAGUGGGAACAGGGGAUGUCAAUCCAUUAAAGAUAAUCCCUGAAUCAAUUUCAGUCAAUGGUUCAGCUACAACUGUUGCUCCUGCAACAACUACAACAACCACCACAGCAACUACAGUUUCAGGCGGAUUAAAGAUUGAAUCCAGUCUGUUCCAAGCAAUAUGCCUCAUUAUUAUGUCUAAAAUAUUAAGCUUUUUCCUAUAGAUCCCUUAAACAUAUCAACCAAACAUGAGAGUUCAACAAGACACACUGUAACAAAUUAAUUAAACACAAAAUGUAUUUAUUAUUAUUAUUAUUAAAUGUAUAGUAUUUCUCAUUGUAGCACAUUCUCAAAUACUAGUAUUGAGCAACAUAAAGAUAACUUUGAUAAUGCAUUUUUGCUGAAGAAUAUAACAGUAGAUAUCUGUUUAACAGCAGGCUGUUUUCUGGGAGGGAGAAGUAGAUCUUUUUCCUUAUGUAUUUCCUUUAAAUGUAAACAUUGUGAAUGUUGUUUAACUGUUUUGAGGUUAAUACUGUUUAAACUACUUAUUUUUGUUUGUCUAAGUUCUAACAUUGUAAUAUGUAAUAUUUUAAUUAAAUAAAAAUAUUUAUUAAAUGAUGUAGUCCA
Molecule: long non-coding RNA, 1587 nt
Organism: Cyprinus carpio (common carp)
Lineage: Eukaryota; Metazoa; Chordata; Actinopteri; Cypriniformes; Cyprinidae
Source: Ensembl